AAACCAACCGGGAUUGCCUCAGUAACGGCGAGUGAAGCGGCAAGAGCUCAAAUUUGAAAGCUGGCUCCUUCGGAGUCCGCAUUGUAAUUUGCAGAGGAUGCUUUGGGUGCGGCCCCCGUCUAAGUGCCCUGGAACGGGCCGUCAGAGAGGGUGAGAAUCCCGUCUUGGGCGGGGUGUCCGUGCCCGUGUAAAGCUCCUUCGACGAGUCGAGUUGUUUGGGAAUGCAGCUCUAAAUGGGUGGUAAAUUUCAUCUAAAGCUAAAUACUGGCCGGAGACCGAUAGCGCACAAGUAGAGUGAUCGAAAGAUGAAAAGCACUUUGAAAAGAGAGUUAAACAGCACGUGAAAUUGUUGAAAGGGAAGCGCUUGCGACCAGACUCGCCCGCGGGGUUCAGCCGGCAUUCGUGCCGGUGUACUUCCCCGUGGGCGGGCCAGCGUCGGUUUGGGCGGCCGGUCAAAGGCCCCUGGAAUGUAGUACCCUCCGGGGUACCUUAUAGCCAGGGGUGCAAUGCGGCCAGCCUGGACCGAGGAACGCGCUUCGGCACGGACGCUGGCAUAAUGGUCGUAAACGAC
Molecule: ribosomal RNA, 571 nt
Filed under: Aspergillus awamori
Lineage: Eukaryota; Fungi; Ascomycota; Eurotiomycetes; Eurotiales; Aspergillaceae
Also listed under: 1 other name
Description: LSU rRNA
Rfam family: Eukaryotic large subunit ribosomal RNA
Source: RNAcentral